This 474-nucleotide ribosomal RNA is filed under the name uncultured bacterium. Its description in RNAcentral is "bacterial SSU rRNA". It matches the Rfam family "Bacterial small subunit ribosomal RNA", at positions 30 to 496 of the family's 1533-position model. The record is from RNAcentral.
AUUGAACGCUGGCGGCAGGCCUAACACAUGCAAGUCGAGCGGUAGAGAGGUGCUUGCAUCUCUUGAGAGCGGCGGACGGGUGAGUAAUGCCUAGGAAUCUGCCUGGUGGUGGGGGAUAACGUUCGGAAACGGACGCUAAUACCGCAUACGUCCUACGGGAGAAAGCGGGGGGAUCUUCGGACCUCGCGCCAUUAGAUGAGCCUAGGUCGGAUUAGCUAGUUGGUGAGGUAAUGGCUCACCAAGGCGACGAUCCGUAACUGGUCUGAGAGGAUGAUCAGUCACACUGGAACUGAGACACGGUCCAGACUCCUACGGGAGGCAGCAGUGGGGAAUAUUGGACAAUGGGCGAAAGCCUGAUCCAGCCAUGCCGCGUGUGUGAAGAAGGUCUUCGGAUUGUAAAGCACUUUAAGUUGGGAGGAAGGGUAGUAACCUAAUACGUUGCUACUUUGACGUUACCGACAGAAUAAGCACCGG